Molecule: ribosomal RNA, 1367 nt
Filed under: uncultured bacterium
Lineage: Bacteria
Description: bacterial SSU rRNA
Rfam family: Bacterial small subunit ribosomal RNA
Source: RNAcentral
AGAGUUUGAUCCUGGCUCAGAACGAACGCUGGCGGCGUGGAUAAGACAUGCAAGUCGAACGAGAGAAUUGCUAGCUUGCUAAUAAUUCUCUAGUGGCGCACGGGUGAGUAACACGUGAGUAACCUGCCCCCAAGAGUGGGAUAGCCCCGGGAAACUGGGAUUAAUACCGCAUAAAAUCGCAAGAUUAAAGCAGCAAUGCGCUUGGGGAUGGGCUCGCGUCCUAUUAGUUAGUUGGUGAGGUAACGGCUCACCAAGGCGAUGACGGGUAGCCGGUCUGAGAGGAUGUCCGGCCACACUGGAACUGAGACACGGUCCAGACACCUACGGGUGGCAGCAGUCGAGAAUCAUUCACAAUGGGGGAAACCCUGAUGGUGCGACGCCGCGUGGGGAAAUGAAGGUCUUCGGAUUGUAAACCCCUGUCAUGUGGGAGCAAAUUAAAAAGAUAGUACCGCAAGAGGAAGAGACGGCUAACUCUGUGCCAGCAGCCGCGGUAAUACAGAGGUCUCAAGCGUUGUUCGGAAUCACUGGGCGUAAAGCGUGCGUAGGCGGUUUCGUAAGUCGUGUGUGAAAGGCGGGGGCUCAACCCCCGGACUGCACAUGAUACUGCGAGGCUAGAGUAAUGGAGGGGGAACCGGAAUUCUCGGUGUAGCAGUGAAAUGCGUAGAUAUCGAGAGGAACACUCGUGGCGAAGGCGGGUUCCUGGACAUUAACUGACGCUGAGGCACGAAGGCAGGGGAGCGAAAGGGAUUAGAUACCCCUGUAGUCCUGGCAGUAAACGGUGCAAGCUUGGUGUGCGGGGAAUCCACCCCCUGCGUGCCGGAGAUAACGCGUUAAGCGUGCCGCCUGGGGAGGACGGUCGCAAGAUUAAAACUCAAAGAAAUUGACGGGGACCCGCACAAGCGGUGGAGUAUGUGGCUUAAUUCGAAGCAACGCGAAGAACCUUACCAGGGCUUGACAUAUGGGUGAAGCGGGGGAGACCCCGUGGCCGAGAGGAGCCCAUACAGGUGGUGCAUGGCUGUUGUCAGCUCGUGUUGUGAGAUGUUGGGUUAAGUCCCGCAACGAGCGCAACCCCCGCCGCGUGUUGCCAUCGGGUGAUGCCGGGAACCCACGCGGGACCGCCGCCGUCAAGGCGGAGGAGGGCGGGGACGACGUCAAGUCAUCAUGCCCCUUAUGCCCUGGGCUGCACACGUGCUACAAUGGCCGGUACAGAGGGAUGCCACCCCGCGAGGGGGAGCGGAUCCCGGAGAGCCGGCCCCAGUUUGGACUGUAGGCUGCAACCCGCCUACACGAAGCCGGAAUCGCUAGUAAUGGCGCAUCAGGUACGGCGCCGUGAAUACGUUCCCGGGUCUUGCACACACCGCCCGUCA